This 406-nucleotide ribosomal RNA is filed under the name uncultured bacterium. Its description in RNAcentral is "partial 16S ribosomal RNA". It matches the Rfam family "Bacterial small subunit ribosomal RNA", at positions 30 to 526 of the family's 1533-position model. The record is from RNAcentral.
AUUGAACGCUGGCGGCAGGCCUAACACAUGCAAGUCGAACGAGUGGCGGACGGGUGAGUACUGUCUGGGAAACUGCCCGAUGGAGGGGGAUAACUACUGGAAACGGUUGCUAAUACCGCAUACCAUCGGAUGUGCCCAGAUGGGAUUAGCUGGUACGUGAGGUAACGGCUCACCUAGGCGACGAUCCCUAGCUGGACUGAGAGGAUGACCAGCCACACUGGAAAUGGGACACGGUCCAGACUCCUACGGGAGGCAGCAGUGGGGAAUAUUGCACAAUGGGCGCAAGCCUGAUCCAGCCAUGCCGCGUGUAUGAAGAAGUCCUUCGGGUCGUAAAGUUCUUUCAGCGGGGAGGCGUUACCCGCAGAAGAAGCACCGGCUAACUCCGUGCCAGCCGCCGCGGUAAUUC